UCCCUGGUGGCUCAGAGGUUAAAGCGUCUGCCUGCAAUGCUGGAGACCUAGGUUCAAUCCCUGGAUUGGGAA
Molecule: transfer RNA, 72 nt
Filed under: Bos taurus (domestic cattle)
Lineage: Eukaryota; Metazoa; Chordata; Mammalia; Artiodactyla; Bovidae
Also listed under: 4 other names
Rfam family: tRNA
About the family: Transfer RNA (tRNA) molecules are approximately 80 nucleotides in length. Their secondary structure includes four short double-helical elements and three loops (D, anti-codon, and T loops). Further hydrogen bonds mediate the characteristic L-shaped molecular structure. tRNAs have two regions of fundamental functional importance: the anti-codon, which is responsible for specific mRNA codon recognition, and the 3' end, to which the tRNAs corresponding amino acid is attached (by aminoacyl-tRNA synthetases). tRNAs cope with the degeneracy of the genetic code in two manners: having more than one tRNA (with a specific anti-codon) for a particular amino acid; and 'wobble' base-pairing, i.e. permitting non-standard base-pairing at the 3rd anti-codon position.
Source: Rfam by way of RNAcentral